RNAcentral lists this long non-coding RNA (773 nucleotides) under Nicotiana benthamiana. Its description in RNAcentral is "long non-coding RNA (NBEN_LNC012579)". The record is from RNAcentral. Lineage: Eukaryota; Viridiplantae; Streptophyta; Magnoliopsida; Solanales; Solanaceae.
UUUUGGUUCUCUCCUUCUUCUCCAAUAAAACUCGUCGCCUCUCCGACCAUGCCCCUCUCCCACUUCUCUCAAUCUCCAGUCGCCAUGGAACCCUCAUCAUCGUUGCUCACCUCUGAAGCUGGAAGCCAAAGUCAUCCGCCAUGAAAGAAGGUCACUGAAACUUCACUUGGGUGUGUUUCCGGCUUUUCUCCGGUGGUUCUUGUUCGAUAAUGCCUUCUAUGGUAUCAUAUACGAGUUUCACGGUCAGGUUCUUCGUUUUCCCUAAAUUGUGUGCAAACCCUAAUUUUUUUACUCAAACCUCUUUAAUCUCUACUCUUUUAAAACAACUCUCAGUUUGAUUUUGUUUUCUACUCUAUUUUUACUUAGUGUUUCCGGUUAUUUCAAACUUCAUAUGGUUACUACUCUUUCAAAUUAGGGUUUCUUACCCCUCCUUCUUCAAAAUCGUUUCUUCUGCUCUUUCUGAGUACUAUAUGUUCGUCUGUGUUUAUUUGUUUUGCUUGUUUGUUUGGUGUCCUGGUUAACCUGGUUCCAUGCUUUAAUUUGUCUUGCUAGGGUUUCUAACCCUUUUUAAUCAUUAUUCUUCUGUUUCUUUUUGGUAUUGCGUGAUUACUUCCAUGCUAUGUGCUUGAAACCUUUUGUUUUUUGAGUUCGAUGUCUUAAAUCUCUUCUAAGGUUCCGACCCCCGCUGUUUUAUGCAAUUUUCUUGCUUAGGGUUCUUAGUUUUGCUAUUGUUAUGCUUAAAUUCGAAUGCCUUUCUUUACUGAAUAUUCUAU